UUUGUCGACAGUCUUGUUUCUGGUGGCAUACAAGCUUCAAUCACCAGCAUACAAUCUUAUGUGGGAUCUUUUUAGGCGACUAAAUCUACUCUACGGUAUAUUUUAUUAACUUUUCGGAUUUUCCCAUUACACUACAAAAUCUAUCACAAGAUUUCAUUUUUAAUGUAUAUUUAUGUUUUGCCAUUGAUCAUCGUCCCACUAUCUGCGAAAAUCCUCUCACGUCACUAUGUAUUAUUGAUGAUCAUAUUUUUAGAUAUGCUUUUUAUUUGAUUGAAGCGACAAUUGUAUAGAUGUUGGUUUUGGUUCUGUCACAUUUAGAAAUAUCUACUUUGGUAGGGUUUUGUAAGUUUUUCCUACGAACUCUGCCCAUUUUAUCCCAUCGGCAUCAUUGCGAGCAACCUAAAAUUUGGGUAUAAUUAUUGAGAUUGUGUGCUAGAAAUUCUUUAUUUGGUUUUCUAUACUCCCAGGAAGCAUCAAGGCAACCAGUGACCACCUGAAACUUUUGGGCAAGUCCACUUGAAAUUGAAAUUUUAAGUUAAUUUUGAAAUAAAUCUGUAAUAUAAUUGAAAGUUGGGUUUUAAACUAGAAUUAGUAUUCAAUUUAAAUAGUUAGAGUACUUUUUGAAAUUGGACACCAGGAAGCAUGAAUUGAUUUUGCACAAUAGCAACAAAACCAAUCUUUCUUGUGUGAUUGAUGCCCUGGUUUUAUAUUUUAGUUGCACCUCACGAAAGCGCACUGAAAGUUGGUUUGAGAGCUGCAAGUGUUCCACAUACACUAAAAAUAAUGAUAAAGGUAUACUCGUCAGCCUUCGUCCCUGCUGAAAGCACAUUUCAGGUAAGAGUUUGAGAGUUUUUCUAGCAUUGCCAUGUUGAGCAUACCCUGCAAUCAUAGCUCUCCAUGACACAACAUUUCGCUUUGACAUUCCAUUAAACACUUUGUGCCCACCCUCUACACUCCCACUCUUGACAUACAUAUCAACAAGGGCAGUUCGAACAACAACAUUGGGGGAAAGACCAAUAUUUUGCCAUUGAGUAGUGAGAGAAGUUGUUGAACUACUUCUGUUCCACAAGGUUACAGCCACUCUUUUAUUGGUCAGUAGUCCAGCCCACACCUAAAAUUUGUCAAAAAUUUAUAGAUUUAAGAAAAUAGCCUUUUCUAGAAAGGGAUUAUUUUGGUUUCUAAAAUAGGAUUAUAUUUGGUGGGCGGAGCAGUUGUAUAGAAUUAGACCAGAAAAAUUCCAUAGCUCAAAGUCUACUUGUCGGCUAGCUUUCGUCCCAUGAACACCUGAUAAAUAUACAAGUAGCUCAAAAGGUUUGGUAACUAAUAUUAAGUCAACUUGAAAGGAAUACAAUCAAGUAACUGAAAUUGAUCAAUGAAUUCAGAACCUUGAUUAACACAUUAAUGACUUCUUUGUUGCCACCAUUUGCAUCAUUUCCUGGCUGGUUGUCCUAACAUCACAACCGAUCAACAAGGGUGCCUGCAAGACAAAGAAACCCAUAUAUUAAGUGGUAGUUGGUUCAUGGGUAGCAAUGUUUGAUUCACAAAGAAUUUAUCAAUGCUGGAUAUUGAGGUUAUAAGCAUCAAUCGUUGUGUCCCACUUGCCCAAAGAAAAUUGUCAGAGACUUUUUAAAAUUCAUAUUUGAUCUGGAAGAUGCCAUGAACGUGUCUCCCUAGUAGACAUGUAUGCAAAAUGUUGAAGCAAUGAGAAGGAAAGUGAACAAUUUCAAAGAACUCCUCAAAGAAAUGUGGUCCCAUGGAAUGCCAUGAUUGCAAAAUACACACCGAAUGGACAUGUUGAAAAGGCUUUCGAAACUUUCAAGCAGCAAUUGGCAGCUGCGAAGUCCAUCUUGUAAUUAGCAGAAAUUUUGUUUUUCUUUAGUUCUUCCACACAUGUCCUUCAAUUUCAGGGAAUGGGGAAUUGACAGAGACAUGGGGCGAUCAAAGUGCCUGAGAAUUAAUCUCCUUCACUUCUAUGUGGCAACGGGAUGAGCCAACACUCAAAAAAGAGAUCCACUUCGUGAGGAUCUUUGCCACCAUAGAGGGCGCCUUCAAGACUCACAGAGUGGGUCUCUUUGUUGGUGGAUGGGGGAUUGAAUUCUUGUUUUAUUGACUAGAG
This is a long non-coding RNA of Cryptomeria japonica (Japanese cedar), 2116 nucleotides long. RefSeq lists it as uncharacterized. The transcript is spliced from 3 exons. Lineage: Eukaryota; Viridiplantae; Streptophyta; Pinopsida; Cupressales; Cupressaceae. The record is from RefSeq and is a predicted model, not a curated record.